RNAcentral lists this long non-coding RNA (339 nucleotides) under Capsella rubella. RNAcentral describes it as "long non-coding RNA (CRUB_LNC004679)". The record is from RNAcentral. Lineage: Eukaryota; Viridiplantae; Streptophyta; Magnoliopsida; Brassicales; Brassicaceae.
GGGUAUUGAAUAAGCUGCUUCUUUAUGGAUUUGAUUUUUUGUGUACUUCUUUAUUGAUGGAUCCUCAAAUUAUGCAGAUUCUGGCGUUACUCCAUCAAUGAGCAUGCAACGGAAGAUAUCCCAGCUAUGAUAGAGAAGAUUCACGAUAUCAAAACUUCAGAACUGAUACUCUAUCAGCCUGCUAUGGAAGAGGUAGUAAAAGAGGAGCAACCUUAUAAGCUCUGUGUUGUAUCUCACAGUUUAGGCGGCGCCGCAGUUCUGAUGUAUGUGAUCACCCGUAAAAUCGAAGAGAAACCACACAGAUUCUCGAGACUGAUCUUGCUUUCGCCUGCUGGAUUC